Molecule: ribosomal RNA, 301 nt
Filed under: uncultured bacterium
Lineage: Bacteria
Description: partial 16S ribosomal RNA
Rfam family: Bacterial small subunit ribosomal RNA
Source: RNAcentral
CAGUCGCCGCGGUAAUACGAAGGGUGCAAGCGUUACUCGGAAUUACUGGGCGUAAAGCGUGCGUAGGUGGUGGUUUAAGUCCGUUGUGAAAGCCCUGGGCUCAACCUGGGAAUUGCAGUGGAUACUGGGUCACUAGAGUGUGGUAGAGGAUAGUGGAAUUUCCGGUGUAGCAGUGAAAUGCGUAGAGAUCGGAAGGAACAUCUGUGGCGAAGGCGACUAUCUGGACCAACACUGACACUGAGGCACGAAAGCGUGGGGAGCAAACAGGAUUAGAUACCCGCGUAGUCCCUGUCUCUUAUAC